CUUUACCAAAAUUAUUUAUUUUAUUUUUAAUUUAUUUUUUCAACUUUUAUUGUUGUAGAAGCCCGCCCAUUUUUUUCCCUCUCUCUCUCCCUCUUUCACCGUCUCUCCCACACUUUUCCUCUCAAAUCGAUUACUGCAAAGAGCAUCAGCCGUCUCCCUCUCUCCCGCUUGCCCCGCCACCACUGCGAGUCUUCCGCGGUCAGGCCCCCACGCCGUGAGCACCAUCCACUGUCGCCCCUCCCUCUGCCAUCGCCCCCACCCACUGGCCCCCAGUCGUUCGCACCGCCUUCCGUCGCCCCUACCUGCUAGCUCCUUCGACUAACCAACGCCGCCCGUAGGUUGCCCCCCCUCCCCCCACUGCCGUUUGUCCCCACCCACCGCCGCUUGCACCACACAUAAUAGGGAGUUAGGGUUUGUAAAGACGGCCAAAUCGUUUCUUUUGCUUGGGAGCUAUGAAAGUUCUGAUUGUGAUUGCACUUCAUUUAUUGUGAUUCCAUUCUCCAGGUUGUAAAUUUAUUUGAUUUCACAACUGAGCUUUUUGGAUCAGCAUUUCCUUGUAUUGGAGUCCCAUGUGAAUUGUCAAAGAUGUCUCAAAACAGGUUGAUGGAGUAGGAUUUGAGCAAGUUGGAGCAUUUAAGUGCGCGCUGAUGUCCAUUUUAUCUCAUUGCAUUUUGGAAUUGAAUUUUAUUCUAUUGCCAAGAAAUUUUUAUCUUUUUUAUAUGAUGGUUGCUUUACUGGCAGCUAAUGCCAAAAACAGGCGUUGAGGGGAGACUUACAAGAUAUUGAAUUAAACAGAGAAUAGAGCAAAUGGCUCUUGAGAUCAUACGAUGGCAUAAAGUGUCACUGUAAAUUACAACUAUUUGUGCUUUAAUAUUUGAUUAUGAUAAUCAUCUUUUAUUUCUUCU
This is a long non-coding RNA of Diospyros lotus (date-plum), 905 nucleotides long. RefSeq lists it as uncharacterized. NCBI's taxonomy places the organism in Eukaryota, Viridiplantae, Streptophyta, Magnoliopsida, Ericales, Ebenaceae. The transcript is spliced from 2 exons. The record is from RefSeq and is a predicted model, not a curated record.